CGAGGCCGGCUUUACAGAGGCCGGUGCGAUCUCUCCGCGUCGUGGAAGGAUCACGGUCUGCUCGCAGCCU
This 70-nucleotide non-coding RNA is filed under the name Prorocentrum minimum. The record is from RNAcentral. Lineage: Eukaryota; Dinophyceae; Prorocentrales; Prorocentraceae.